RNAcentral lists this ribosomal RNA (467 nucleotides) under uncultured bacterium. RNAcentral's name for it is "partial 16S ribosomal RNA". It matches the Rfam family "Bacterial small subunit ribosomal RNA", at positions 28 to 506 of the family's 1533-position model. The record is from RNAcentral.
GACGAACGCUGGCGGCGUGCUUAACACAUGCAAGUCGAACGGAAAGGCCCUGCUUUUGUGGGGUGCUCGAGUGGCGAACGGGUGAGUAACACGUGAGUAACCUGCCCUUGACUUUGGGAUAACUUCAGGAAACUGGGGCUAAUACCGGAUAGGAGCUCCUGCUGCAUGGUGGGGGUUGGAAAGUUUCGGCGGUUGGGGAUGGACUCGCGGCUUAUCAGCUUGUUGGUGGGGUAGUGGCUUACCAAGGCUUUGACGGGUAGCCGGCCUGCGAGGGUGACCGGCCACAUUGGGACUGAGAUACGGCCCAGACUCCUACGGGAGGCAGCAGUGGGGAAUAUUGCACAAUGGGCGGAAGCCUGAUGCAGCAACGCCGCGUGCGGGAUGACGGCCUUCGGGUUGUAAACAGCUUUCGCCUGUGACGAAGAGUGAGUGACGGGAAUGGGUAAAGAAGCACCGGCUAACUACGU